AAUUCUGGAGAAAUUGUUCAAAGUAGUCCUAAACUGUUCAUCCUAUCCUGCCUUACCCUUCUCUCAGAAACCCCAAUAAAGGCCAUGCCUUACAACUUACCUUGCUCCUGUUUCUGCCUCCUGACCACUCUGGUCUUCCCCAUGUUGCCAUGUAUGGCAUGCCUCCUGUCUCUAGGACCUAUUCAGCAAAAGGGAAAAACAAUGAAAGUCUGUAUUAGUAACCAGAAAAGGUCAGAAGUCUGAGGUACCUGAGAGAAGACAGAAAAAUGAGAUCUGGAAUUUGAGGAGCGCCUGUUAGGAGAAGAGCCAUCUUUACUACUUCCCAAAAGAUUCCCUGUUCUAGUUGGCCUUCUAUAUUGGUGGUUUCUGAAUACAUACCCCAAAGAACUUGAGCAUCAGUGAAUUCUGGUAUCUUCUGGGAGCCCUGGAACUAAUCUCUUGAAGAUACCAAGGGAUGACUGUGUUUUAAAAUGCAAGUGGAUUAGGAUAUUGAUGGUGAUCAUUUUGCAUAAUUUUUUUCAUAAUGUUGGGCUUCCAACAAAAGAUUAAAAG
This 552-nucleotide non-coding RNA is filed under the name Pongo abelii (Sumatran orangutan). Lineage: Eukaryota; Metazoa; Chordata; Mammalia; Primates; Hominidae. The record is from RNAcentral.